AGGUGAAAGGCCUGAGACGCAGAGGAAACCACUUCCGUUACACUGGAAAUUGUCCCAAGCAGCGGUAGGUAUGAAAGGGCAAACCUAGAGGAGUUGUCAUCAGAUCACGUAGGACUUUAAUCGUUGAACAAACGAACCUUUAAUAGCGGUUGCACCAUUUGGGUGUCCUGAUCCAACAUCGAGGUCGUAAACCCUAUUGUCGAUAGGAACUCUAGAAUAGGAUUGCGCUGUUAUCCCUAGGGUAACUUGUUCCGUUGAUCAAAAUUUUGGAUCAAUAAGUGAUUAUGCUACCUUUGCACGGUCAGAAUACCGCGGCCGUUAAACUGGUGUCACUGGGCAGGCAUUGCCUCUAAUACUAGUAAUGCUAGAGGUGAUGUUUUUGGUAAACAGGCGGGGUUUGUGUUUGCCGAGUUCCUUUUACUUCUUUUAAUCUUUCCUUGGAGGAGAAAGGCUUCUUGUUACUCAUAUUAACAUUGGAAUUUAGGGUUUUUGGGGUAUUUUUAAGGUUGAACUAAAAUUCUUUCUCGGACAACCAGCUAUCACCAGGCUCGUUAGGCUUUUCACCUCUACCUACAAGUCUUCUCACUAUUUUGCCACAUAGAUGAGUUGGUUCUUUUAAACUGCUCAUAGGUAGCUCGUCUGGUUUCGGGGUAUCUAGCUAAAGUUCUCUUUGUUAGAUUUUUUCUGGUUAAACCACCCCCAAUCGAUCCCUACCCCCCUCUACGUUUCCUCUUUGGUAAAUGUAAGUUUGGUUUGGAAAUCUUUGAGUCUUUGUACGUUUUACUGUAUUAUCUCUAUUACGUUGAAU
This 808-nucleotide long non-coding RNA is filed under the name Sus scrofa (pig). RNAcentral's name for it is "lncRNA (ENSSSCG00005021146.1)". The record is from RNAcentral. Lineage: Eukaryota; Metazoa; Chordata; Mammalia; Artiodactyla; Suidae.